RNAcentral lists this small nucleolar RNA (122 nucleotides) under Cryptosporidium parvum Iowa II. The record is from RNAcentral. Lineage: Eukaryota; Apicomplexa; Conoidasida; Eucoccidiorida; Cryptosporidiidae.
UGCAAUGAAGAUUAACCAACUCUAUUCUUCUCCUUCCACUGAAACUUAGUGUAGAAAAAGAGUUUUUUAUCGUUUUGGAAAUUGGUCUCUUAAGAGUUACUAUUUUCAAAGCGGUACUGAGC